CUAAGCCAAUGAAUCGUUAUGCUGUUUCUGCGCGCCUUAUUUCAAAAGUUAAACUAUAUGUCAAGAUCAUCAACCAUCCAAAGAAAUUUUGUCCCAAUUCUUCUCAUAAAGCCCUUCAAAUCUUUGUUGCGCUUUGUAAAAUACUCUACAUUAAGUGCUCCCAGUUGUAAUUCAGUCCUGAAUUAUCACAUAAAAAACGGAAAACUCGAUGAAGCAAGAGCAAUUUUUGACAAAAUUAUAACACCGGAUGUGUACUUAUGCACUAGGAUGUUAUCUGGGUAUUUGGAAAAUCGUAGAUUCGAUGAAGCAUUGGAACUGUUUGAUGAAAUCCCUGUGAAAGACAUAGUAACAUGGAAUUUAAUGAUGAAGGGGUGUUUCGAUUGUGGGGAAGUUGAGAUGGGUUUGACACUGUUUGAUGCAAUGCCUGAGAGGAAUGUGAUUUCCUGGACUACUUCGAUGAGCGGAUUGUUAAAAGUUGGACUAGUUGAAGAGGCUGAGAGGUUGUUUUUGGGGAUGCCUGUGAGGGAUGUAGCAGCAUGGAAUGCAAUAAUCUAUGGGUAUUUUGCAAAUGGAAGAGUGGACGAUGCGAUGAAGUUAUUCAACAUGAUGCCUUCUAGGAAUGUCAUAUCAUGGACCUCGAUGAUUAGUGGGCUUGAUCAGCAUGGGAGGACUGAUGAGGCUCUGUUGAUGUUUGCAAAGAUGGUGGGGUUUGGGAUUGUGCCCUCUUCCAGUACUUUUUCCAGCGUAAUUACAGCUUGUGCAAAUAUGUUAGACUUAUAUCUAGGUGUUCAAGUGCAUGGGUACAUAUUGAAGUUGGGAUGCCUUUUUGAUGCAUAUGUCAGUGCUUCUCUUGUCACUUUUUAUGCUAAUUGCAAGAAAAUGGAUGAUUCUCUUAAAGUAUUUAAUGAGAAGCUGCACAUGAAUGUAGCUGUAUGGACAUCCCUUUUGACGGGAUAUGGUAUGAACAGCAUGUAUGAAGAGGCAUUGAAUGUUGUGGUGUCCAUGUACAGAAAUGGGGUUCUUCCAAAUCAAUCUUCUUUUACAAGUGCUUUAAAUUGUUGUUCUGAAAUGGAAGAUGUUGAUCAGGGUAAAGAAAUGCAUGGUGCAGCAGUCAAGCUUGGAUUGAACACUGAUGCUUUUGUGGGUAAUUCUCUAGCUGUAUUGUAUUCUAAGUGUGGAAAUUUAAAGGACGGGAUAGUCAUAUUCAAGGAGAUUUCAGACAAAAACAUAGUAUCAUGGAAUACCAUUAUUGUUGGAUGCGCACAACACGGAUGUGGUAAGUGGGCACUCACCUUUUUUGGCCAAAUGGUACGUGCACGAGUGUGCCCUGAUGAUAUUACAUUCACAGGUUUGCUCUCAGCUUGUAGCCAUAGUGGUAUGCUUCAGAAAGGAAGAUAUUUCUUUGAUUAUCUACGGCAACACAAAACCAUGGAGGUGAAGCUUGAGCACUAUGCUUGUAUGUUGGAUGUACUCUGCCGAUGUGGAGAAUUGGAAGAAGCAGAGAAUUUGAUAAGAAACAUGCCCAUGAGACCAAAUUUGUCAAUGUGGCUUUCUCUCCUAAAUGGUUGCAGGAAAGAUUGUAAUUUAGAUUUAGCUGAAAGAGUCGCAAAAGAUGUUUUCUCUUUAGAUCCAGAUUGUAGCUCUGCUUAUGUAUUGUUGUCCAACAUGUAUGCUUAUGCUGGUAGAUGGGAGGAUGUUGCAAGAACUAGGGUGCAAAUGAAAAAAAGGAGAACGAUUAAACAGCCUGGAUGCAGUUGGGUGACUCAAAAAGGUGUGCGACACAUAUUUGUGUCUGGUGAUAAGUCACAUCCUCUGAGCAGCAAAAUUUAUCAAAAGUUAGAGUGGUUAGGGGAAAAGUUGAAGGAGUAUGGGUAUGUCCCUGAUCGAAGGUUGGCUUUACAUGAUGUGGAGGAUGAACAAAAAGAAUCAAUCUUGUCAUAUCAUAGUGAGAGGCUUGCUAUUUGCUUUGCACUCAUUGACAGUGAGGAGAGAAGUGCUAUAACAGUAAUGAAGAAUCUACGUGUGUGUGAGGAUUGCCACUCUGCCAUCAAGGUAAUAGCAAUAAUUGCUAAUCGUGAAAUCAUUCUUCGAGAUUCUACUCGCUUUCAUCAUUUCAGGGAUGGGUUAUGUUCCUGCAGGGACUGCUGGUAGUAUGAUCAAGACAAGAUUAAGCUCCUCUCCAUACAAAAUCACCUCCAGUUCUCCUAAGUAUAGGCUUUCAUUGUUGUUGACAUGUGUACUUAGCCAAUAUCAAUAGCUUAUGUGAUUUUGGUUGGCCCUGAUAGUUAACUUUGGUUGGGUAGCUGUGGUUAAGGUUGCUUAGUAAAGUCUCCAUCUCUCCACGAUUAUCAUAUCUCUGAAAAGCAUAUCAAAAUCCAAUUAGCUGAAGAUCAAUAGCAUCCUUUGACAUUUCCAUCCUAUUUUGAUACAUAAUUGAUUGGAAAAUGUGGAGGAAGACAGAUUGGCUUUUGGCCCUAAACUUCCACGUCUGACUAAAAAGCCAAGGUCGCACAGGAUAAGAAGAAGAAGACAAAGAAGGAGAAAAAUAUGUCUCAAUUGAUUUCACCAAUAUAACAGGUUUAUGGAAAGUUCCCCGAAGGAAAUGGGGAACAAUUACAUUGGCAUCUGACAGGCUAGCUCAUCUUUUCCAACUGAAAUCUGGGAGUGGACUUUGACUCGAUUCAAAGAUGCACAUACUUGCUAUGAAGCUAUGCUGCAGCUGUUAAUUUUAGUAUUCGAAAAUAAUACGAAUCAGGAAAGUACAUGAUAGUCCCCGUUCGGAUUGCUAUUUUCAGGAGUUUUUGCAGGAAAAAAGUACUGUAGCGAUUUGAUGUAUGUGAAAUAAAAAGGUAAUUAGGAAAUGUGUUAAUGGAAAACGUAAAAAUUUUUCUGUGAAAAAUCACAAUCCAAACAAAUGUAAAUGCGUUGUUGGAAAGAAGGCUACAAGUAAAGAUUGAGGGAUUUUCUGGUGAAGAAACCAAGCAAGGAAACUUGAACGGAUCUCCAGUCAUGUAAUCAUCCAGCUGUUCCAGCAUGGCAGAGAUCAGGUUACUUCUUUCGAAGCUAAGCAUAACCACCAUCUUGUUUCAUCAUAAAUGUCUUGCUUAUUGCCAUCAAACCUAAACAACGCGCUCGAUCUGUUGAACUGGACUUAGCCAAUUAAUGAUGCAAGAGUACAACCCAAAGAAGCUCAUCUCUCUGCACAAGCUUGGGGUGAGAAUUUGUGGGAUUUACUAGAAGAAACAUUAAUGUAUAUUCAGUAACAGUGACAAAAAUGACUUGAAACAUGGGAAGUCUUUUAGCUUGUCAGUGUAUUUUUCGAACUCAUUGACUAAAAGAUCCUUGAUCAUUUUAGUCAUAUCCCUUGACCCUUUUGACAGAACUAUGGA
Coffea arabica (coffee) is the source of this 3389-nucleotide non-coding RNA. NCBI's taxonomy places the organism in Eukaryota, Viridiplantae, Streptophyta, Magnoliopsida, Gentianales, Rubiaceae. The record is from RefSeq and is a predicted model, not a curated record.